CCAUCUAACCCUAAUCCCCAUUCUCUCCUCCGUUCCCUCAGCCGCCACAACUGCCCACUCCUGAUUCCGGCGAUUCUGGCAGCUAUCGCCGGCGCGGUGCACACCGCCGAGGUCGGCUCUUUCGGCUCCAUCCUCCCCCCUGGCAAGAUUUUCCCUUCCCGGCCUCUACCGCUCGCCCAAAUCCCACACCCGUGCUAGGGUUUCGGCCUCUCUCAUCGCCUUCGUUAUUGGCGCAUGUCCGACGGCCUCUGGCGGCUCUUCUCCACCGUCUUUAGCGCCCCCACGUGCGCCCUCGCCUUCUGAUGUUCUACCUCGAGCAGGGCGGCGCGGAGGAUCUCCUCCCGCAGGAUCCACAGACGUGGCGCACCCUGCAGCCGCCUGUCCGGGAGGAGGGCGGACACUGUGUCCUUGUCCUGCUCGAUGACGAUCGCGGCGAACGCCGGUGCUGCUCCUCAUUCUCGACCUUCAAGGAGGAGCACUGGUACAGCAGAAGCACGCCCUUCCCCUGAACAAUCUUCAUGGCGUCAGGACGUCCUCCUCCUUGACGCGGCUGUUCCCAAUGAGCUCUCUCCUCCGGAGGAGGUGAAGCAGCUUGUCCAGCACCCCCUUGGCCUCCUAUCCUGCACCACAUGAACGAGCUCACCGACGGUUGCGUUCUGCCCUCCUAGCGUGAUAUUGGUUAUGGCAGCAUUUUCAACAAGAAAGACUGCGUUUUGACAACUUUGGCAUGGACGGGUGGAUCUGCUGCUUGGAAGACCCCUAGUUGGUGUGUGGCCGCCUGAUAAGAGUGGCCAUCGCUUGGUGGGCGUGGUGCUGGUAGUAGAGUAGGAUAGUGUUCUUCGGGACAUGCUUGUAAAAUUAAGGUUUUUGGGUCUUUUUUUCCGCUCCUGUACAAGUGUAUUUUUGGAUCUGUUGUUGUAAUUUUCUUUUUCUAAUGACAUGAGCAUAUACUUUCUGUCAAAUUCUUAUUGGCGUAAAUUUUCCAUGGAAAA
Molecule: long non-coding RNA, 992 nt
Organism: Aegilops tauschii subsp. strangulata
Lineage: Eukaryota; Viridiplantae; Streptophyta; Magnoliopsida; Poales; Poaceae
Source: RefSeq, a predicted model, not a curated record